RNAcentral lists this unclassified non-coding RNA (254 nucleotides) under Hevea brasiliensis (rubber tree). Lineage: Eukaryota; Viridiplantae; Streptophyta; Magnoliopsida; Malpighiales; Euphorbiaceae. The record is from RNAcentral.
GCAAACUGUACUUAGUCAAAACAAACUUGGCCACACGCCUAUGAUAUGAUGAAAGCUAAGAUGAUCAAAUGAGCACAAACUUACACUUAAUUUUGGGAAGAUAACAUGCAGGAUACUAAUUGGAUCAUUCUUCCAGUCAAGCUCACAUUAAAUUAAGGCUCAUUCUUAACAAAUAAGGUUAUCAAAGUAUCACUUAAUAAUGUACACAAUUACUCUAUGAUUAUCUAAAUAUUGGGAUCUUUAGGGAGCUACAU